This 913-nucleotide ribosomal RNA is filed under the name uncultured bacterium. Its description in RNAcentral is "bacterial SSU rRNA". It matches the Rfam family "Bacterial small subunit ribosomal RNA", at positions 8 to 913 of the family's 1533-position model. The record is from RNAcentral.
AGACUUUGAUCAUGGCUCAGGAUGAACGCUAGCUACAGGCUUAACACAUGCAAGUCGAGGGGCAGCCUGUUGGUUGCUUGCAACCAACGAUGGCGACCGGCGCACGGGUGAGUAACGCGUAUCCAACCUUCCGCAUACUCGGGAAUAGCCUUUCGAAAGAAAGAUUAAUGCCCGAUGGUUUCCCGAAUCCGCAUGAGCGCGGGAAUAAAGAUUCAUUGGUAUGCGAUGGGGUUGCGUCCCAUUAGCUUGUUGGCGGGGUAACGGCCCACCAAGGCGACGAUGGGUAGGGGUUCUGAGAGGAAGGUCCCCCACAUUGGAACUGAGACACGGUCCAAACUCCUACGGGAGGCAGCAGUGAGGAAUAUUGGUCAAUGGGCGAGAGCCUGAACCAGCCAAGUAGCGUGAGGGAUGACUGCCCUACGGGUUGUAAACCUCUUUUAUAAGGGAAUAAAAUGAAGUACGCGUACUUCUUUGCAUGUACCUUAUGAAUAAGCAUCGGCUAACUCCGUGCCAGCAGCCGCGGUAAUACGGAGGAUGCGAGCGUUAUCCGGAUUUAUUGGGUUUAAAGGGAGCGCAGACGGGACUUUAAGUCAGCUGUGAAAUUUUCCGGCUCAACCGGGAAACUGCAGUUGAUACUGGCGUCCCUGAGUACGGUCGAGGCAGGCGGAAUUCGUGGUGUAGCGGUGAAAUGCUUAGAUAUCACGAAGAACCCCGAUUGCGAAGGCAGCCUGCCAGACCGCAACUGACGUUCAUGCUCGAAAGUGCGGGUAUCAAACAGGAUUAGAUACCCUGGUAGUCCGCACGGUAAACGAUGAAUACUCGCUGUCGGCGAUACACUGUCGGCGGCCAAGCGAAAGCGUUAAGUAUUCCACCUGGGGAGUACGCCGGCAACGGUGCAACUCAAAGGAAUUGA